GUAACUUUGGCUAAAAAAUAAAAAUUUAUCCAUUAAAGAUUCUUUCUCUGCAGAGAGUGAAAGUUUCUCUCCUUCUUUUGCUUUUUCAUGGGUGCAAGGCUCUCUUUCUGUUGGUGUAGUCCGGGAGCCUCUUUUCCCUGACCAAGCUGUGAAGUCUUGUUUCUCUUCAUCAUCUGCGCUUCAUCAGUUUUCCUUCUUUUCUGCUUUGAGGAAGGUAGAUCUGGUUUUUUAGAACCAUGCAUCUCCUAGGUCUUUAGCCAGUCUUUUAUUUGGAUGGCAGACCUUCUUGACACAUUCAGGUGUCUAUGAGUGCUACAGGUUCCCUUUAUCAACUCCAUUGAUGAGUGUUUCCUCAGUUUGUCGCAAGUUUGGUUGAUUUAAGUAGGAGAAUCUAAUCUUUGGUUGA
This is a long non-coding RNA of Manihot esculenta (cassava), 406 nucleotides long. RefSeq lists it as uncharacterized. The transcript is spliced from 2 exons. Lineage: Eukaryota; Viridiplantae; Streptophyta; Magnoliopsida; Malpighiales; Euphorbiaceae. The record is from RefSeq and is a predicted model, not a curated record.